Molecule: ribosomal RNA, 499 nt
Filed under: uncultured bacterium
Lineage: Bacteria
Description: partial 16S ribosomal RNA
Rfam family: Bacterial small subunit ribosomal RNA
Source: RNAcentral
GACGAACGCUGGCGGCGUGCUUAACACAUGCAAGUCGAACGGGCCCGCUCUCUUUUUUGGGGGUGGGUUGAGUGGCGAACGGGUGAGUAUCACGUGAGUAACCUGCCCCCUGCUCCUGGAUAACUGCUUGAAAGGGCGGCUAAUACGGGGUGUGCCGGCUGGUCCGCAUGGGCCUGGUCGGGAUAGUUUCAUCUUCGGGUGUUUCGGUGGGGGAUGGGCUCGCGGCCUAUCAGCUUGUUGGUGGGGUGAUGGCCCACCAAGGCGGUGACGGGUAGCCGGCCUGAGAGGGUGGGCGGCCACACUGGGACUGAGACACGGCCCAGACUCCUGCGGGAGGCAGCAGUGGGGGGUAUUGCACAAUGGGCGGAAGCCUGAUGCAGCGACGUCGCGUGAGGGAUGGAGGCCUUCGGGUGGUGAACCUCUUUCUCCGGUGGUGAAGGCCCUGUCCGUUGCGGCGGGGUUGACGGUAGCCGGGUAUGAAGCGCCGGCUAACUACGUG